RNAcentral lists this long non-coding RNA (364 nucleotides) under Phoenix dactylifera (date palm). RNAcentral describes it as "long non-coding RNA (PDAC_LNC016497)". The record is from RNAcentral. Lineage: Eukaryota; Viridiplantae; Streptophyta; Magnoliopsida; Arecales; Arecaceae.
UAUCAUACACAUAGAUUAAAAUUGAUCAUACAACUAUAAGUUAAUUUUAGAUCAAUUGCACCCUAAAGCCAUAGUAUAAUUGCUCUAGCUUAAUUUUUCACUACUUUACUUGUAAUUGCCUAGAGCUUAAGUAAAUAACAUCUUAUCAUUCCGCUACAUUCAAUUCAAAGUAAAAAUUAGGGAACAUAAUUUUUAGAAAAGCCCAAUUCACCCCCCCUCUUGGGUUGUCACCUUGGGCAACAAGUGGUAUCAGAGCAGGUGCUCUUCUAUUAAUUAUAGUCUUAACCGACUAGAGCUAAAGAUUAUGACAACCCCACAUAACAUAUUAUUUGCCGAGGGACUUUCCAUAAACAGACCUCUACUG